RNAcentral lists this ribosomal RNA (492 nucleotides) under uncultured bacterium. RNAcentral describes it as "partial 16S ribosomal RNA". It matches the Rfam family "Bacterial small subunit ribosomal RNA", at positions 29 to 507 of the family's 1533-position model. The record is from RNAcentral.
AGUGAACGCUGGCGGUAGGCCUAACACAUGCAAGUCGAACGGCAGCACAGUAAGAGCUUGCUCUUACGGGUGGCGAGUGGCGGACGGGUGAGGAAUACAUCGGAAUCUACUUUUUCGUGGGGGAUAACGUAGGGAAACUUACGCUAAUACCGCAUACGACCUACGGGUGAAAGCAGGGGAUCUUCGGACCUUGCGCGAUUGAAUGAGCCGAUGUCGGAUUAGCUAGUUGGCGGGGUAAAGGCCCACCAAGGCGACGAUCCGUAGCUGGUCUGAGAGGAUGAUCAGCUACACUGGAACUGAGACACGGUCCAGACUCCUACGGGAGGCAGCAGUGGGGAAUAUUGGACAAUGGGCGCAAGCCUGAUCCAGCCAUACCGCGUGGGUGAAGAAGGCCUUCGGGUUGUAAAGCCCUUUUGUUGGGAAAGAAAAGCAGCAGGCUAAUACCCCGCUGUUCUGACGGUACCCAAAGAAUAAGCACCGGCUAACUUCGUG